RNAcentral lists this ribosomal RNA (557 nucleotides) under uncultured bacterium. RNAcentral's name for it is "bacterial SSU rRNA". It matches the Rfam family "Bacterial small subunit ribosomal RNA", at positions 912 to 1478 of the family's 1533-position model. The record is from RNAcentral.
GACGGGGGCCCGCACAAGCGGAGGAACAUGUGGUUUAAUUCGAUGAUACGCGAGGAACCUUACCCGGGCUUGAACUGCAGGAGAAGGAUACAGAGAUGUUGACGCCCUUCGGGGCUCCUGUGGAGGUGCUGCAUGGUUGUCGUCAGCUCGUGCCGUGAGGUGUCGGCUUAAGUGCCAUAACGAGCGCAACCCUUUUCGUCAGUUGCCAUCAGGUGAUGCUGGGCACUCUGGCGACACUGCCACCGUAAGGUGUGAGGAAGGUGGGGAUGACGUCAAAUCAGCACGGCCCUUACGUCCGGGGCUACACACGUGUUACAAUGGGGCAUACAGAAGGCCGGUGCAUGGCAAUGUGCAUCCAAUCUUAAAAGUGCUCCUCAGUUCGGAUUGGGGUCUGCAACCCGACCCCAUGAAGCUGGAUUCGCUAGUAAUCGCGCAUCAGCCAUGGCGCGGUGAAUACGUUGCCGGGCCUUGUACACACCGCCCGUCAAGCCAUGAAAGCCGGGGGCGCUUGAAGUCCGUGGCCGCGAGGGUCGGCCUAGUUUUAAACCGGUGAAAGG